Molecule: ribosomal RNA, 259 nt
Filed under: uncultured prokaryote
Description: partial 16S ribosomal RNA
Rfam family: Bacterial small subunit ribosomal RNA
Source: RNAcentral
UACGGAGGAUCCGAGCGUUAUCCGGAAUCAUUGGGUUUAAAGGGUCCGUAGGUGGGCUAGUAAGUCAGUGGUGAAAUCCGGCAGCUUAACUGUCGAAUUGCCGUUGAUACUGCUAGUCUUGAAUUACUGUGAAGUGGUUAGAAUAUGUAGUGUAGCGGUGAAAUGCUUAGAUAUUACAUGGAAUACCAAUUGCGAAGGCAGAUCACUAACAGUAUAUUGACGCUGAUGGACGAAAGCGUGGGGAGCAAACAGGAUUAGA